AGAAAUGCUAUAGGGACAAAUUCAAUACCAAAAAUACAACAAAUAUACUCUACUAUUCCUUUAUACCUAUAUUUCUAUUUUAUUUUUAUUUUUUAUACCAUAUUGUCACACAUGUUCCUUUAUUUUUCUCUUUCCAUUCCUCGCUGUUUUCUUCCUCUCACCGAGCCUCUGCGCCGAUCUCCCUCCACCACCAAUCAUCGCCGGCGACAUCUCCCUCCACCACUGAACAACCAUCACCGCCUCUUCUCUUGCAAUUUUGAAAAAUCAAAUGUCAAUUUCAGGUUUGUUUCUCCUUUUUUUAGGGUUUUAGAUUUAAUUUUUUUUCCUUUCAUGCAACUUUAAGAGUGAACUAGUAAUUAUUGUUUCUGUUUCUGGAUAUCAUGAUACUAGGCACUCAUUGUUAAGCUUAAACAUUUUACAGUUUCUGUUUNNNNNNNNNNNNNNNNNNNNNNNNNNNNNNNNNNNNNNNNNNNNNNNNNNNNNNNNNNNNNNNNNNNNUUUUUUUGUGUUAAAAUUGUGUAAAGUGACCCCAUGUUGUUAUUGGUUAUUUUUUAGUUUUUCUUCCAUUAAUUGAAAAAAAUUGUGUAAUGGAUUUGUAAUCCAAAGUAAAUUGAACUCUUUCUUUUUUCCUGACAAUGAAUCUGUUUUAAAAAUUGGUUGGGUAGAAGGCAAACUUGUGAGUUGAGUGGUGAUUUAAGAUGUGAUUUAAUUGUUUUUUGAGUGAACUGAUUUAUAUCUUACUCACUUGGCACCUCUUAUGGCUUGUUAGAGUUGUUGCUUUAUUUCCUUUACUUAUUACAAGUUACCUCUUGUAAUGUAACAUAGAUGCGAGACAAAAAUUUGGGCGAGUUGAACGCCAUUUUCAUUUGUCGAAGAACCUUUCUAUGUAUUUGAGUAAAAUGGUCAUAUUAGGCGUGCACCACCUGUCGUAAGAGUUGAGAAUAUGUUUGAGCAUGUUCAGAUUAGGUGCUUGUGUUUAAGAAUUUGUGGAAGAGCCCGGCACCGUCUAAGGUCAUCACUUUUUUGUGGCAGCUGAUUUUAGAUCGAAUUCAAACUAAGGACAAUUUACGUAAGCGGAGGAUGAUACAUGAUAAUAAUUUCAACUGUGUGCUUUGUACUGUGUGUGUUGAAUCGGCAUGUCAUGUUUUCUCCAUUGCAAGCGUGCAGCUGAGAUAUGGUAUGCGAUUACAAGGUGGUCAGGACUGUUUCUAAUUAUUCCGCAUAAUAUUGCAACAUCGUUUGCGUUAUUCUAUACUAGUGCAAGGAAUAAGAAGGAAAAGAAAGGUUUGUGCCUGAUUUGGCAUGCAUAUGUUUGGGCUAUUUGGACUGUGAGAAACGAUGGUGUUUUUAACGCGAAAGUGUGGAGCGGGUUAAGGUGCUGUCUUGGAAGUGGUUCAUAGGGAGAAUGGCGACGGGUCCGUGUUUACUAUAUGAAUGGAAGUGAAGUCCGUUGGAUUGUAUGCAGCGUUAAUCAGAAUCUGUGCAUGGGUUUUGGUGUUCCCUGUAGGUGCUUAUUGCUGCGUCCCCUUCAUCUUUUCUCUGCUUGAUGUUUGGCUGGUGUGUUGUGAUUGCUGCUAUGUGUUUUUUAGCCUCUUUGCUUGGCCUUUUUGUGUUUGCUGCUUUGUAAUUUGUAGUCGCUAUGUUUUUGGUUUUAUUUGCAUUUGUACCUUUCUAGCUUUUG
Molecule: long non-coding RNA, 1681 nt
Filed under: Trifolium pratense (red clover)
Lineage: Eukaryota; Viridiplantae; Streptophyta; Magnoliopsida; Fabales; Fabaceae
Description: long non-coding RNA (TPRA_LNC005463)
Source: RNAcentral